AGACCCCACUCCCCUCCCUCAUCCUGUCCCCGAGCCCCCCGGGGACCCCUCCCGAGCCCCCCGGGACCCCUCCCGAGCCCCCCGGGGCACCUGGAUGCCCGAGACGGUGAAAUAGGGGAUCUCGAAGCGGACGGCGAUGGGCGGCCGCCCCUCCUCCUCCUCCUUCUCCACGCUGGGCAGCCCGAAGUGGGCGCGCAUCAGGUGCUCCUUCCCCCCCUGCGACCCCCCAGCGGCUCGUGGGGACCCCCGCGGCCACCCCCACAUUUUGGGGGGGACACGGGGGGACACCCUGGGACAGGGGCUGGGGGUCCCCAGGAUGGGUGGACAGGGUUGGGGGGCUCAGGGGACACCCCAGGACAGGGUUGGGGGUCCCCAGGCCGGGCUGCUCACGGGGAAGGAUUUGAUGCUCCAGAUGACCACGUUCCUCUCGGGGAGGUACCGCGCCGACCCCACCGUGGUCUUGAAUUUCGGGGAGUCGGCGUCGCUGGGCACCGGCACCGAGAUCUCCACCCCGUUGGCCACCGACUGCUUCUUGAACUGGCCCUUGGCCUGGGGGGGCACACGGGGGGUGGCAGGGGCCGGCCGGGGGUCCCUGGGGGGCUGGGGGGACGCCCGGGCUCACCUUGACCAUGAUCUCCACCCGGCUGUGGGAGAACUUCUCGAUGAUGGACUCGAUCCAGAUGAGCGGCUUCACCUGGGGGGGGGGGCACAGGGGUCACCCCUGGGGGUCCCCAGGGGUCCCCAUCACCCCAGGAGGGGUCCUGACCACACGGACAGAGGUGCUGGACACACGGAAAGGGGUCACAACCCCAGGGAAGAGGGUCCCAGCCCCUCAGAAUGUGGCCCCGAAACCCCCAGAGUGGGUUUGCAGCCCCCAGCCCGGGUUUGCAGCCCCCAGAGUAGGUUUGCAGCCCCCAGAUUGAAUUUGCAGCCCCCAGAGUGGGUUUGCAGCCCCUAGCCCGGGUUUUAUAGCCCCCAGCCCAGGUUUACAGCCCCUGGGCUGGGUUUGCAGCUCCCCAGGCCAGGUUUGCAGCCCCCAGAUUGAAUUUGCAGCCCCCAGGCCGAGUUUGCAGCCCCCAGGCCGGGUUUGCAGCCCCCAGAUUGAAUUUGCAGCCCCCAGGCCGGGUUUGCAGCCCCCAGAGUGAAUUUGCAGCCCCCAGGCCGGGUUUGCAGCCCCCAGAAGGGGGUCCCAGCCCCACAGGUGGCCCCACCUGGGUGUGCAGGCGGUAGGACAUGAGCUCGAAGUCGCCGUCGGGGGGGAUGAAGGAGAUGGUGCGGUCGUUGUCGAAGCGGGACAGACGGACGCACUGGUGGAACUUCACGUCCUCCAGCUCCACCGACUUGUUCUUCCCCCCUGGAAGGGAGCGGGGGGGCUCAGGAGGGAUUUGGGGGGGACGGGGCCGAGCCCCCCGCCCCGGCACUCACGGCCCGUCAGCUCGAAGAGGACGCGGUCGUUGAGGCCCAGGCGCAGCUCCGGCAUUCCCGACAGGAAAACCUUCAGCUUGAUGGUGCCCAGCACCUCGCUCAGCACCACGCUGCCGCUGGCGCUCACCUGCGGCACGGCCCGGCGGGGAGCUGGCGCCGGCUCCAGCCCGGCCCCCGGCCCGGCCCAUUGCUAGAGCCCCGUCAGCACCGCCUUCCUCGUCCCGGGCACAUCCCACCCCAAUCCGCCUCCAUUGCCACCCCAAUCCGCCUCCAUUCCCACC
Molecule: long non-coding RNA, 1706 nt
Organism: Chloebia gouldiae (Gouldian finch)
Lineage: Eukaryota; Metazoa; Chordata; Aves; Passeriformes; Passeridae
Source: Ensembl